Molecule: non-coding RNA, 107 nt
Organism: Acanthosepion pharaonis
Lineage: Eukaryota; Metazoa; Mollusca; Cephalopoda; Sepiida; Sepiidae
Source: the annotation of a GenBank genome assembly
UACGGUCAUAUAACGUUGAAACACCAGUUCUUGUCCGAUCACCAAAGUUAAGCAUCAUCGACCCUGCUCACUACUUAGAUGGGCGAUUACUUGGGGAUACCAGGUGC